AUGUCUUCUGGGUCUUACUCAAGCCUUUUUUUUCUUCAGGGGGAAACUGCUUUCUUUUCCAGAGACGCAGCUACUUACUUCAUGCUUUCCUGUUUCCAAUUGUUUUUGUAACCGAUUUCUGAUUUAGGGUUUGGAAACUGGUUUCACUGGAGUCACAGAGUUCAACGUCUUGCUGAUUCCUCACAGAGAGACGGCGGCUUUUGAGGAUGUUGGUGAUGGCCAACAAUUUUUCCAGCUUUUUUUUUUCCAGGGCAGCAAUUGCUAUGCAAUGCGUUUACGUUUUAUAAUUAGCGUUGGUGUAGUUGUCAUUGCAGUGAUUGAUUUGAACCCCCGAGGGAUUCACGGGAAAGAAUGCAGCGUUACUUUUUGGUAAUCUCAUCUCAUUGAGAUUAUCUGGACUGAAGCCUGUCAGGAACAGCUGAGGUGACUGAGGUCAAAGGCAGAUCGGAUCCAAGAGGAAGAAAUAACAAUGACGUGAUAAAAAAAAAAAAAUGUUUGCCACAGUUUUCACGGAGUGUGCAUGUGUGCCUCUGUGUCUCUCUUUGUCUGUUUGGCCAUGUGACGGCAGACAGGCAUGUCUCUCAGGGUGUCGUCUUCCCCGCCCGGGGGCCAGGCGGUCUUCAGUCUGGUGGAGCUCCACCUUCCUGGAUCCAUGCUACGCCGGCAUGUGUGGAGGUGUGAAGGUGUCACACGUGCUCCAACGCAGGUCCGUUUGAUUGUCGGCGGGGGCGGUGCACAUCCAGGAGCCCAGAAUUCCUCCGGCUCCACUCUCGCUUCCCCCACACGGACAAUGGGGCGGGGGUGAGAGGUGGAGGAAUGAAAGUAAAGGAACCCGCGUGAAUCACUGAAGGUUAAGCUCUGCAGAUUGAAUGACUCCCCUGGGACAAGUGCUACUUGGGCCUGCACAUAGGAAUACACAAUGGCAGGUCAUCUGGCGCUGUAAUCGAAUGGCAUUCACUGAGCUCGCUACACAAUUGCAGGAAAGAGAGGGGGGGAAAAAAAAUGCCUUUUUUUUUUCUCUUCUCACUGUUCAGAUGCUGAUUAUGUGCUUUCUACACUCGAGUGCUGGAGGCCAAAUGACAACAUGCCAUUGGUUCGUUUUUUUAGGAGCAGCCACUCAUAAGGGCAAAAUUGUUAGGAAUAAAAACGUUAAAGGAACCAGCCACAACACGCC
Gasterosteus aculeatus aculeatus (three-spined stickleback) is the source of this 1174-nucleotide long non-coding RNA. The record is from Ensembl. Lineage: Eukaryota; Metazoa; Chordata; Actinopteri; Perciformes; Gasterosteidae.